CGAGACUUGAAGCAAGGAGGUUGUGUAGAUUCUCCUGGGAUAGUAGUGAUGAAAUUAAUAGGAAACUGUAUUAUGGUGUAUUGAAAUUUUAUGAAGGAUGGGAUAUUAUGUUAGAUUCUUAAGUUAUCAAAGCAAGGCAGAGUUUCAAGCAGUACCAAGGGGACGCAGCUAGCUUUGGGCAGAUUUUGAGCAAGAUGGAGACCAACACCAUCCGGAGCAAAAUGGUACAGCAACGUGGGACUCAAAAUGGCGCACAACUACAUGGGGCGUCAACAACACUAAAAACCGAUACACAGCAAAUUGACGCAGCCAACGAGGGGCAGAUACGCAGCAAAUUGACGCAACUACGUGGGGCAGAUACGCAGCAAAAUGUGAUGACUUUGACACCAAAUUGUCAAAGUUGACAAGACAUGGGUUGCCUAUGUACUAUCGGAAUCAAAGUAGUAAUCUAAGGAUUAGUGACAUUCCAAUGUUAUCCAUAAAAAUGAAGUAGAAAUAAAUAAUUUAAACCCAGUAAAUCAUGUGUAGUGUACAUUGAGGGGCAGGAAGGAAGUCUUCUUGUUGGAAUCUUUUGCCUCAUGUGACUUAGUAAAUUCAGUCAAUUACAACUCAUUGUGAUACCUUAAAAUAACGAUUGUAAAACCCAAAAGAGCACAACAUAUGAUGUAACAAGGGAAUUGCUUUGUUCUAUGACAAUCAUUGGCCAUGCAUACUGGCUCAUCAAAGACAAUAUCUCAUUUUCAAUUUGGAUCGGGACAACUUUAUCAUUCUCCGUACUGUUCCAUCCUAGCACCCAAUGAACAUAACAUUGGCACUUUGAAAGAUAACCGAAUCAAGCAACAUUGAAUGUGGCUGUUGUUUAUAUGGGUGAUCACUGAACGAUCCUGUUGGAAAUUACGUAAAAAAGUUACAAGUAAAAAUUAAAUAUUUCAGAAAUGUAUAACUCUAGCUUUAAAACAUUGAAACUAUUAGGCAUAUGUGGCAGGUAUCUUAACUAUCAUUUAAAUUUCCUGGUUCAUACAGUGAUGAAACAUUGGUAACACAAUUAAAGCAACUAAGAUCUUGGAAUAUUUCAACAUUGUUGUGGAGACCAUCUUCAGUCAUAGUCCAAGCAGGAGCCUAAAGCCAAUGUGCGUUGUAUUGGCAUACAAUCUGGGUUUUCUUUAAAAUCAAUAGAGAAAAUUCCAUUAAGAAAGUUAUAGAUCAUCAGUUGCUCUAGUUUCGGUGGAGGUUGAAUGGGAGAGUAAUCAAAAGGGUUAAAAAUAAUAAACAAUAAUUUUUCUGAUAUUUUUCUUAGCUUUGAACACUUAAACACAACCGUUACUACAUAUAUGUGUGUGUGUGUGUGUGUGUGUGUGUAAUCAGUGUGAACUAACUGUAUACAGAUAUUCAAUACCCUCCAAUUUUUACUUACACCGGUACUACCACGGCUGACUUAGGAGAAAUUCCUCUAUUGAUUUCAAGAAACCAAAGUUGUGUGCUUAUAAAAUGAAAAUUUUCUUUCUGACCCCAAAUUAUAUGAACAAAUUUAAAACCAGAAGUUUAGUUUAGUUUUUGUGUUAACAAUGUUUUAACAUGGUAUGAACUAGAAAACUUAUACAAUUGUGUUUUUAAAAUUAAAAAAAACUGUACUUAUUAAAAACACACACACACACAUAUUAGUGUUUAAUUGUUUGAUUAGCAACAUCUGAACAAGAAAUCUUAAUUCAUUUUCAUCAAGAAAAGAAUAAGUUUCAGAUAAUUAGAAUAUGGUCAUGAAGUUUACAUGAUUUUUACAAUGAUAAGAAAACUUAAAUUGGUUAAAAUACAUUUCUUUAAAGGUAUGUAAAAUUUUCUUUUCAAGUUAAGUAAGUGAAUAUUUAGUAUUUCUGAUGCAAUCAGUACUUGGUUUAUAAGUGGAAGAAAGUUAUAACUUGCUAUUGCACAUGUAAUAAACAUUAAUAAAAAGAUUUUUUAAUUAGGUAAAA
Long non-coding RNA from Homalodisca vitripennis (glassy-winged sharpshooter), 1967 nucleotides. RefSeq lists it as uncharacterized. The transcript is spliced from 2 exons. The record is from RefSeq and is a predicted model, not a curated record. NCBI's taxonomy places the organism in Eukaryota, Metazoa, Arthropoda, Insecta, Hemiptera, Cicadellidae.